This 56-nucleotide transfer RNA is filed under the name Phaseolus vulgaris (common bean). Lineage: Eukaryota; Viridiplantae; Streptophyta; Magnoliopsida; Fabales; Fabaceae. The record is from Rfam by way of RNAcentral.
UAGCUCAGUGGUAGAGCGUGUGGCUUUUUAACCACGUGGCCGUGGGUUCGAUCCAU